CAGUUGGUUAGAGCGCGCGCUUGAUAAGCGUGAGGUCGGAAGUUCAAGUCUUCCCAGGCCCACCAUUUUGAUCGAGUGCGGAGCAUUCGUCUUCUGGUACGGGGCCAUAGCUCAGCUGGGAGAGCGCGUGCUUUGCAAGCAUGAGGUCGUCGGUUCGAUCCCGUCUGGCUCCACCAGAUGGUUUGAUCACCAACGGCGUUACCGUCGUCCGCGAAACAUCACUUCGCACUCAUUGGUCCGGAUGGACGGUGACGUGCGUGUUUUCUGACAUCGUAAAGAGGAGAUCGAUCCGAGUUUGGAUCAAGCGAAGCAAUUCGCCUGAACCAUUCAUUAUCUCCGGGAUCAUUUCGGCGCUCGCUUUCAAUCGUGAGAUUGGAUGCGGGUUGUAAAUGAUCCCUUUUAGCGAAGCUUGACCGCCUCGCUAUCGGGCCGAUCUUACGAAGCAAGCUGGUCUUUCUAGUCAAUGUCCGGCUGCGCGAUCGCAUUCAUCGAGGAUGCGCGCCUUCAGUGGCAAUUGUGCAGACAACAUUCUGCCGAGUGUGUGGACAUUGAUAAUGAGAGCAAUCAAGUGCCUUAAGGGUGUUCGGUGGAUGCCUUGGCGCUGAGAGGCGAUGAAGGACGUGCUACGCUGCGAUAAGCCGUGGGGAGCUGCGAAGAAGCUUUGAUCCGCGGAUUUCCGAAUGGGGAAGCUU
RNAcentral lists this unclassified non-coding RNA (692 nucleotides) under Bradyrhizobium sp. STM 3100. RNAcentral's name for it is "partial 16S-23S ribosomal RNA intergenic spacer". The stretch from base 563 to 692 matches the Rfam family "Bacterial large subunit ribosomal RNA", at positions 1 to 129 of the family's 2925-position model. The record is from RNAcentral. Lineage: Bacteria; Pseudomonadati; Pseudomonadota; Alphaproteobacteria; Hyphomicrobiales; Nitrobacteraceae.